Molecule: long non-coding RNA, 938 nt
Filed under: Salvia miltiorrhiza (redroot sage)
Lineage: Eukaryota; Viridiplantae; Streptophyta; Magnoliopsida; Lamiales; Lamiaceae
Description: long non-coding RNA (SMIL_LNC005146)
Source: RNAcentral
CACCCCCGCAGACCCUUCCCCUUCCACCACCCGCUGGCUUCGCCGUUCGCCUCUCCAUCAAUCCAAUAUCUUAUUUUUCAGCUUACAGCAACGCCGUGUUCUCUAUCCCUCGACCGACGGGCAGCAGGAGCCCUCAAGCUGCCGCCACCGCCGAUCUUUCUCUCCAUGGCUCGACAACACCUGCCACCACACGAAACCAAGCCCCUAAAUUCAUUCUACAGCCUAGGCGAUACACAAUAAGAUCACACCAGGCUUCUGCGGAAAUUCUGGGGGGCAAUUUUAGACGAUGAAUUUUGGGGAUGAUUGAGGAUUGGGAGGCAAGGAUAAGAGAACAAGUCUGGGGUUUGUCGUGAUCAGUGCAGUAAUCAAGCGGGCGUUUGCGGAGGUUUUGGGGUAGGGCAAUUUCCUUCACUCAUCCAUUAAUGGCUUCUGGAGGUAUGGCUUCUCAAUCUAUCUCUGCAAUUUCCUUUCACUUCUCCAUUAAUAGCUUCCAAACAUAUUAAUCUCUCUCUGCAUUUCCUUCACUCCUCCAUUAAUGGUUUCUCGAUCUCUUUCAGCAAUUUCCUUCAAUCCUUCAUCAAUUUUCGGAAUCUGUUAUCCCAAAUUUACUUCCCGCCACUCGAGCUCCGCAAUUUUAUGUUUGCUAUCAUGAGGGUUUUAGGCAGCAAACCCUCCUCUAUUGCCCUCGCACCGACAAACUUUCCUCUACCGUCCUAAAAUUUAAAAAAAUAUAGAAAAAAAAAUCAAUUUCGCCACAUAUGCGACACAUCAAUUUCAAUUUCUCAACGUAAGUGACACAUCAGUCUUGUGAGACAAUUACGAAUAAAUUAUAAAUUGAUAUAUUUCUUGAUCAAAUUAAAAGCCGAUGAUAUAAUUAAACCAAAAAACGAAAGAGUGAAUUUUUAAAAUGAUCACUUUCAUAUUGUAAAAUUAAAAAC